This 119-nucleotide ribosomal RNA is filed under the name Echinops telfairi (small Madagascar hedgehog). The record is from RNAcentral. Lineage: Eukaryota; Metazoa; Chordata; Mammalia; Afrosoricida; Tenrecidae.
ACUGAAGUCUGUACCACUCUGAACAUGUCUGAUCCCCUCUGAGCUCAGAAGCUCAGCCGUGUCAGGUCUGACUGGGACUUGAAUGGGAGACCACCUGGGAAUAUUGGCUACUAUCAGGA